Molecule: non-coding RNA, 30 nt
Filed under: Mus musculus (house mouse)
Lineage: Eukaryota; Metazoa; Chordata; Mammalia; Rodentia; Muridae
Source: RNAcentral
UGACAUCCACACCAGUGAAGUCUGCUUUGA